UGCUGUGCCCGGUCCCCGCUGUCCGGGUUUCCCCCCACGGGCCCUGCUGUGGGGACAGCUCCGCGCCCGGGGAUGGCCCAGUGGCGGGAGCCGCACUUUGACCCCGUUGUGCAACCGCCAUCAAGGAAGUAAAUAAGGCCGGGGUGAAAAAUACGACCUGGCUUCCCUCUAACGCUCUCUUUCGCUAGGUGCCGUUUCCCAAAGGCGGCUGAAGCGUUGGAGCAAAAUGAGCGGGAAGAGAAAGCACGGGGAUGGACUCAGCACCUGCUAAUGCCCUGCCCAGAAUUUACCGGCCUGCUGGCUGACAGUAGGGCUGCAGUGGUGGGGACUGGUAAGAGUAAGUGCUCUGAGCUCCCUGAGACUGGAUUGCUUUAAAUAGGUCAGGGAUGAGAGGAUUCUCUGCUUAGGGUUGCCCAAAGAUGGGUGUCAGUGCUUUCUGUGUUAUAAUUUGUGGUGAUCACUUAACUCGUAGUGCUGUGACACAGAACAAAUUGCCCUGCUCACCAGUUGGCCCAGCAGUCCUGAAGUAGUUCCAUACCCUGCCCUGUCCCCAGACACGUAAACAUCUCUACAGGAGAUGUUUGCCAAAUGGUCAUUUGGGAAAGAGUAAAAACUGAUAGCUAUUCCUUAAUAGGGUGAGUAAAUAUCUUUAAAUCAAGUCUUAGUCCUCACCAUAAACUAUUUCAAUAACUGUUGUGGUUUCUCACAUGCCCCUCUCACCUGUACAAGGCUGCUGCUGAGUUAAAAUGAUGACACUGAGCCUUUCCUACAGCUCUGAUCGCUUUACAAGGAGGCAUCACUAGAAGGGACUGCUCCUCUGAGAAGUUUUAAAUUAGGGUUUUAUAAUCUUUUAUACUUGUUCUCAAAUAUAUUUUACUUCAUAGUUUUUUUGUCUUCGUACCUUUUCUCAAUCAUCACCCAAAACUCUGGGAGAAAAAGAAAAUACUCCUUCUCUGCAACUUUUACAUUCCAUUUUUUGCCAUAUUGUAAUGCUGCGAAGUAGUUGCCCACUUCUGCAAGGCAGGAAUGCUGCUUCAAGCAGAGUCACGUCCACCGGUUUGUUGCUGCCCCAGUCAAGCACAUUGCCAGUUUUAGCUGUGAUGAAAUUCUAUAAGCAACAUACCAAAGAACUAUCUAGAAUAGAAGUCUCUUUGCAUUCCCAAAACAGUGGAAGAAUUAAUCUACAUCAGCUGCUCAAAUGAUUUAUGGGGGGGAGCUCGGCUUAAGCUGAAGCAGCCUGAAGGUGCAGAGUGGCUGCACAUCUUUCUUUCGCAGCACCUAAAUGGGUGUGUAGCCCAAAGCUGGGCUGGUAAGAGUGAUGGAAGAAGAGAGUGAGCGACAUGAGAGAGGGAUUAAAUUACCCCAUGGCAGCAGUAGUCAACACGAAGGGUUAGAGCAGCCUCUGUUCUUCUGCUGCUCGUAUUUUAGGGCAGCUGGAAUGCAGCUUACAGUUGUAUUACAGAACUAGAAAUAAAAACCUAGAAAUCAUCAGUCUUUGUUCUAGCACUCUCGUUAGUAGACCAUAUGGCAUAUUUACCAUAUUAGGUAAACAACUUUACCAAAUUACAAGAGCAACUGAAAUGCAUUAUGACUUGUGUGUUGUGUGUAAGGUUUAUUACUGGAUAAUUAAUCUUUUUGCACUCUGCCUUUCAUUUGCUAUUGGAAGUAACUUUUUAGAUGGGAUUCUUCAGGCCCGGGACUCCAGCUCCUCUGUAUUGUACUGCUCAAUUCUGACUCUAAAAGUUGCUCUAAUAUUCCUCAAAUCUGGUUUCUGUAACUACUUCAAAUCUGAAUCAAAACACUUUGAGAAGUGGUCAGAGCCAGUGGAGAAUAAUUUGUUGGUACCAGGUAACACAGAGGUACACUUAAUGUUCAUCAUUCUGACACUUUUGUACAAUUUUCAUGGAAUUAAGACCUAAUUUCAAAAUAAAUGCUCGCUUUACUUCAGAGUGUUUGUUUUAUGAAAGCGCCUGCAUUUCACCUAGCAUGGCUGUAGGAAAAUAUUUUGUCCCAUUGAUGUCCAUGCCCUGGUUUCAUGGUGCUCUGGGUUUGUUACAAAACUUAGGUUCUACUGCAGAAACGCUUUCUUUCCAUGUUUCCAAAUUGUGUGUGCGUUUCCAAAUUGGAGGAGCACAGGAGGUGGACAAUUUCAGAGCUGCACAGUGUCAGGAGAAAGACAAAAUAAUGGAGCUCUGGUUGAGGAUGAUGCAGACCUAUGCAGAAACACAGUUUGUCAACUUGAAAGUCUGCAUGCUGAUCCUUCUGCAAAGGGGUGUCAGUCCGCACCAACAAGCGUUCAGCUAAAGCAGCAAGGCUUCAUGUGCAUCUAGAAUGCAGAAGUUUGACAGUAAUCUGUACAAAAAGUAUUCCUGUUGUGAACAUUUUACUUUGAAUUGAGGGGAAAAUGCAGUCUUAGUACACACAAGCACAUGCGGAUAAAUAAAACAACUUUAUUGCCUCUUUGUGGUCUGCGCUUUGCUGUCUCCUUGGAAACUUAAGGUAUCAUUGAAGUCUUGGUCUUAAAAUCAUGACACAUAUUUCAGGUGUCAUUUGGUGGAUCUCUGAUGCUCUUAAUGGUCAGGGAUUGGAAGAGGUAUACCAAAAUCACCCAUUUGUUUAAGUGUUUGUAUCUACAUAACAGUUGAUGGAACUUCAGAAGUGGUGCAGAAAACCAAACAUUUUUUCCAUAAAAGAUGCUAGUAAGAUCCAUAGUGACACAUGCUUUAAUAAAAAUGUGACAACUUCAUGGAUUUCCUCCUUUAAAAAAAUAAAUUAUUUAACUGUAUCUGGUUAUUGGGAAAUACAAAAACAAUCUGUUAGGCUACUAGUGAGCUACAUUUUUAAAAAGAAAAGUUAGCUGACCAUGCAACUGCUUGUGAAUCUUCUCUAGUUUUUAUGGGACAGUUUGAGGAGUGUGUCCCUAGCACACACUACAUGCGAUUCAUGUGGGAGUUGCUUAUGUAUGGCUAUACCAAAGUCCAUGCAGCUCAACAUCCUGUGCCCGAAAGAGGAUGCCCAGAGAAUAUACUGUGGGAUAAAAGAUCAUUGUUUAAAAGCCUUCAAGGCUUUACAGUAUAAAAGAGUUGUGGAAUACUGGUUUUCCUUCCCAACUGCUCUUAAUCUAACUUGUCAUGCUUGCAUACUGCAUGCCAAGAUGGGAAGCAUCAAAAUCCAGACUCGUCUACGAGGGAAGAAGGAACUUUAAUAAGAAAAAGGAGCACUUGUACAAGAUGGAAGUUUCCAACUACGCACUCGGCAGCAAGCAGAUUCUUUUAAAGCAAAUCUUCUGAAUGGAGGUUACUAACAAAUGCCCAAAAUAACGUUUGUAAAAGAGACAAGAAGCAGCCAUGUCAAUGAAGAUUUAUGUUUUAUCUGUUAUAAAAAAAAA
Molecule: long non-coding RNA, 3388 nt
Organism: Oxyura jamaicensis (ruddy duck)
Lineage: Eukaryota; Metazoa; Chordata; Aves; Anseriformes; Anatidae
Exons: 2
Source: RefSeq, a predicted model, not a curated record